Long non-coding RNA from Fukomys damarensis (Damara mole-rat), 536 nucleotides. RefSeq lists it as uncharacterized. The record is from RefSeq and is a predicted model, not a curated record. The transcript is spliced from 3 exons. Lineage: Eukaryota; Metazoa; Chordata; Mammalia; Rodentia; Bathyergidae.
GACAGAAGCCAGUUCUCUGGAUAACCCCUGGAAGGGUUGGGACACUGAACACAUAGUACAUCUCUUUCUUUCCCUGAGGAUAAUCUGUAUGCUGAGCUUCUCAGUUGUUCCCCACUGCUGUCCUGUUGGCUUCAUUCUUCUAUUGCCUUCAAAACAAAAGCCUACAGGGAGAGAACUGGUUCCAUCUUUGACAUCCGACGUGGGGCUCAACUUCUCUACAGAGAGCUUUCAAGCUACAGCUGGUGGUGCGGACAGACACACUGAUAGACUCUUCCUGAUGCCUAAUCAGGGCCCUUAAAGCGAUCUCACCACAGUGGUGGGCUGUGACUGCUGCCCUUCGCAGCAAGAAGCAACUAGAGUGACUGAAGCCCCAUACUCCUAAUGACAGUUAGGUCACCACUGCUGAGGGGGAAAUUGAGACCAGAAAAUAAAGGCACAAAAUGUGAGGGCCUGAGGAAACAGAGAUAAGCCUAAGGAAAUUAGAGUGCAAGAGACAACAGCCUAAUUGGAGUACAAAGUACAAAAGACUAAUAAAA